ACAUAACCUUAGCGAAUGAGUCGCUGCCUAGUGAGUCAGCAAGAAAUAGCUAAACGAUUGGAAAGGAAAUAGUUGAAGUUUAGUUGUGGCGAAAUAAGAGAUUAAGUCUCAUACCACAUGAAAAGAAUUGGCCUAUCACUAUAAAAUUCUACAGCUGAUCCUAAUACGACUACGGUUUUUGUGAUCUGCUACGGGAAAUAGUGGGCUUCUCGUUACUUGAAGUAACA
Molecule: long non-coding RNA, 227 nt
Organism: Topomyia yanbarensis
Lineage: Eukaryota; Metazoa; Arthropoda; Insecta; Diptera; Culicidae
Exons: 3
Source: RefSeq, a predicted model, not a curated record